This 492-nucleotide ribosomal RNA is filed under the name uncultured bacterium. RNAcentral's name for it is "partial 16S ribosomal RNA". It matches the Rfam family "Bacterial small subunit ribosomal RNA", at positions 29 to 507 of the family's 1533-position model. The record is from RNAcentral.
AGUGAACGCUGGCGGUAGGCCUAACACAUGCAAGUCGAACGGCAGCACAGUAAGAGCUUGCUCUUACCGGUGGCGAGUGGCGGACGGGUGAGGAAUACAUCGGAAUCUACUUUUUCGUGGGGGAUAACGUAGGGAAACUUAUGCUAAUACCGCAUAUGAUCUACGGGUGAAAGCAGGGGAUCUUCGGACCUUGCGCGACUGAAUGAGCCGAUGUCGGAUUAGCUAGUUGGCGGGGUAAAGGCCCACCAAGGCGACGAUCCGUAGCUGGUCUGAGAGGAUGAUCGGCCACACUGGAACUGAGACACGGUCCAGACUCCUACGGGAGGCAGCAGUAGGGAAUAUUGGGCAAUGGGCGCAAGCCUGAUCCAGCCAUGCCGCGUGAGUGAAGAAGGCCUUCGGAUUGUAAAGCCCUUUUGUUGGGAAAGAAAAGCUGCGUGUUAAUACCCCGCUGUUCUGACGGUACCCAAAGAAUAAGCACCGGCUAACUUCGUG